Molecule: ribosomal RNA, 112 nt
Filed under: Natrinema altunense JCM 12890
Lineage: Archaea; Methanobacteriati; Methanobacteriota; Halobacteria; Halobacteriales; Natrialbaceae
Source: RNAcentral
UACGGCGGCCAUAGCGGCGAGGUGCCUCCCGUACCCAUCCCGAACACGGAAGAUAAGCUCGCCUGCGUUACGGUUNGGGCGACCCUCUGGGAACUUCGUUUCGCCGCCUCCA